UGGGCUUGACCGUAUGGA
RNAcentral lists this small nuclear RNA (18 nucleotides) under Arabidopsis thaliana (thale cress). RNAcentral's name for it is "snRNA_04356". The record is from RNAcentral. Lineage: Eukaryota; Viridiplantae; Streptophyta; Magnoliopsida; Brassicales; Brassicaceae.